CAGUGGCGCACGGGUGAGUAACGCGUGGAUAAUCUACCCUUGAAUUCGGAAUAACAUCGCGAAAGCGGUGCUAAUACCGGAUGAUGUUGUGUUUUCUUCGGGGAAUACAGCCAAAGAAUGCCUCUUCUUGAAAGCAUUUGUUUGAGGAUGAGUCCGCGUCCCAUUAGCUAGUUGGCGGGGUAAAGGCCCACCAAGGCAGUGAUGGGUAGCUGGUCUGAGAGGAUGAUCAGCCACACUGGGACUGACACACGGCCCAGACUCCUACGGGAGGCAGCAGUGAGGAAUUUUGCGCAAUGGGGGCAACCCUGACGCAGCAACGCCGCGUGAGUGAAGAAGGCCCUUGGGUCGUAAAGCUCUGUCAAUGGGGAAGAAAUUGCAGGGUUCUAACAGGGCUUUGUAUUGACGGCACCCAUGAAGGAAGCACCGGCUAACUCCGUGCCAGCAGCCGCGGUAAUACGGAGGGUGCAAGCGUUAUUCGGAAUUAUUGGGCGUAAAGGGCGCGUAGGCGGCCUGUUAAGUCAUAUGUGAAAUUUUGGGGCUUAACC
RNAcentral lists this ribosomal RNA (545 nucleotides) under uncultured bacterium. RNAcentral's name for it is "bacterial SSU rRNA". It matches the Rfam family "Bacterial small subunit ribosomal RNA", at positions 93 to 614 of the family's 1533-position model. The record is from RNAcentral.